This 301-nucleotide ribosomal RNA is filed under the name uncultured bacterium. Its description in RNAcentral is "partial 16S ribosomal RNA". It matches the Rfam family "Bacterial small subunit ribosomal RNA", at positions 509 to 807 of the family's 1533-position model. The record is from RNAcentral.
CAGUCGCCGCGGUAAUACGUAGGUGGCAAGCGUUGUCCGGAUUUAUUGGGCGUAAAGCGAGCGCAGGCGGUCAAUUAAGUCUGAUGUGAAAGCCCCCGGCUCAACCGGGGAGGGUCAUUGGAAACUGGUCGACUUGAGUGCAGAAGAGGAGAGUGGAAUUCCAUGUGUAGCGGUGAAAUGCGUAGAUAUAUGGAGGGACACCAGUGGCGAAGGCGACCCUCUGGUCUGUAACUGACGCUGAGGCUCGAAAGCGUGGGUAGCAAACAGGAUUAGAUACCCCCGUAGUCCCUGUCUCUUAUAC